RNAcentral lists this non-coding RNA (23 nucleotides) under Cricetulus griseus (Chinese hamster). The record is from RNAcentral. Lineage: Eukaryota; Metazoa; Chordata; Mammalia; Rodentia; Cricetidae.
UGCAGUACUGUAAGGAAGAGGGA